GCUGGGCAUGGUGAUGCAUGUCUGUAGUCCCAGCUACUUGAGAGGCUGAGAUGGGAGGAUUGCUUGAGCCUGGGAGAUUGAGGCUGCAGUGAGCCAUGAGCAAGCCACUACACUCUAGCCUGGGCAACAGAGCAAGAUCCUGUCUCAA
Molecule: unclassified non-coding RNA, 148 nt
Organism: Pongo abelii (Sumatran orangutan)
Lineage: Eukaryota; Metazoa; Chordata; Mammalia; Primates; Hominidae
Rfam family: Metazoan signal recognition particle RNA
About the family: The signal recognition particle (SRP) is a universally conserved ribonucleoprotein. It is involved in the co-translational targeting of proteins to membranes.
Source: Ensembl